Molecule: ribosomal RNA, 490 nt
Filed under: uncultured bacterium
Lineage: Bacteria
Description: partial 16S ribosomal RNA
Rfam family: Bacterial small subunit ribosomal RNA
Source: RNAcentral
AUUGAACGCUGGCGGCAGGCCUAACACAUGCAAGUCGAACGGUAACAGGAAACAGCUUGCUGUUUCGCUGACGAGUGGCGGACGGGUGAGUAAUGUCUGGGAAACUGCCUGAUGGAGGGGGAUAACUACUGGAAACGGUAGCUAAUACCGCAUAACGUCGCAAGACCAAAGAGGGGGACCUUCGGGCCUCUUGCCAUCGGAUGUGCCCAGAUGGGAUUAGCUAGUAGGUGGGGUAACGGCUCACCUAGGCGACGAUCCCUAGCUGGUCUGAGAGGAUGACCAGCCACACUGGAACUGAGACACGAUCCAGACUCCUACGGGAGGCAGCAGUGGGGAAUAUUGCACAAUGGGCGCAAGCCUGAUGCAGCCAUGCCGCGUGUAUGAAGAAGGCCUUCGGGUUGUAAAGUACUUUUAGCGGGGAGGAAGGGAGUAAAGUUAAUACCUUUACUCAUUGACGUUACCCGCAGAAGAAGCACCGGCUAACUCCGUG